Coturnix japonica (Japanese quail) is the source of this 5444-nucleotide long non-coding RNA. RefSeq lists it as uncharacterized. Lineage: Eukaryota; Metazoa; Chordata; Aves; Galliformes; Phasianidae. The record is from RefSeq and is a predicted model, not a curated record.
CCUCAGAUGAUAAUACAAUCACAGAAUGUUUUGGGUUAGAUGAGAUCUUCAAAGAUCAUCUAUUCCAGCCCUCCUUAUCAACCAUAAAUGUGACAAUAAAACUUUGAGCAGGCUGAAAUGAAACACUAUUUCUAGCAAAUGCUGUGUUUUUAGAGCAGGUUUUUAUGCCAUGUGAGAAGUAACAUGUGCCGGUUUUACAUAUUCCUACAAAUUUCCUAGGAGAAGACACUGACUGAAAAUUGGUAGAGUUUCUUCCCUACUUUAAGGGAGAUUGAAUAAUGCCCCUUGGAAACUUCUAGGCACCAUAGCAUUUUCUGAAAAGACUCUUUAAAGUUGUUUUCCUCUUGGCAGAUGUAUUAUAAAGGCCAGUUAACUAUUGCUGAAGAGAAGCAACUGGAAGACAUACAGAGAAAUGAACCCAUUUAGUGAAGUGUAUUGCAUAUGGACAGUCUUGUGCAGAGGGAGCAUAAACCUGAGGAGAUUAGAGCAUGCCUCAAGCAGAAUUCAAGAAAUGUGUCCCUAGUUCAUGUUUGGAAAGUGUUUUUCUCUUCCCACGUGACCAAUACAUCCCAACCAACCCACUCUCCAUCCGUACAUAUCCCUCUUCUUUUAACAUUUCCAGCCAUACACCUGCUCAAACCUUAUUGCUGCUUAGACCCCUGUGGCAUAUUCUUAAACAUCUGUGUCCCAACACAGUCUCCAAGCACUUCUGGUGAUGACUCUAUGCAAGACGGUCAGGAGCUAUUACUGUGGGCAAACUAUGGCAAGAGAACUUGCUAAGAGAUGGACUGCAUGGGACAGACUAAGAAAUCCUGUAGUACUCGAACACAUGGGCACUAUGCAGCCAUUUAAACUACUUCAGCUUUAGGCCAGCUUUGUGUCAGCCUUGCACUUUUCUGAUAGAACAGAUGCUUGUUUUAUGUUGUUUCUUCCAUAUUCUCUCAACAUUGAGCAUUCUGAAAUUAACUCCAUCCAUGACAAAUAAAAUCUGACAGGAUUCAGUGCAUGGGAGGCAGAUGUAAAUGUACAGCAGCAUUUUGACCAGCUGGAUCUGGCUGAACAUCGGCAGCAAUGUUUCUGUCAAACUCUGCCAUUAAAAGCCCUCACAUCUUGUGAUUUGGUGUGUGUGCUGCAGAAGCCUGUUCAAGAAUAGCAAUGCUCAUAAGUGAGAAGGAGAGGGCUGUAAUGGAGCAGCUGCGGCAACUCAACGCAGCUUCAUUUAGACUUUCCCCCUCCUACAGCAAAUGCUAAAUCUACCCUGCUAAGGAGGAGUUCAAGCCAUGAAGAUAUUCCACACAGAAGAGGAUUAUAAAGCCCCAUGAUGAGCCUGGAAUGAAAUUAAAAAUAGCCUGUGCAAUGAAUGUGCUUUUCUUAGUCUGCUUUGAGAUGUUUCAUAAAGCUUUUGCUUCUUAAAGCACCACUUGUAAUCUCUUGUGGAUAGAUCCAAAGUUGUCUGCUGUGUAACAAAUGUAGAUAGUUGUUCAAAAGGAAUGCUGUUGUCUUGCUAGGGUCUUUUUUUUUUUUUUUUUGUGGCGCUUGGGCGAAGGGAGUGUGUGUGUGCAUGUGAGAAUGUGCGUAGAAAGAGGGGACUCAGCCAGUCGAUCAGAUUUCAUUGGGUUUCUAACUGCCAGCUUUAGACUAGUGGUUUUGGAAUAUUACUUGGGAUCAUUUCAAGUAUUUUCAGCUUUAAAAAGCAAGUUGUAGUUUCUAAUUAAAAGGGAAGAAAAAAAAGUCCCCUCUGUCAGUUAAUAAAUAAUGGUCAUUGACACUUCAGUUCAAAAAACAGGAAACUCUGGAGCUUUCCUUUCUCCCAUAUCAGCUAAAGGCUCCUGGCAAGAGACAGUGUCCCCAGCAGAGGACCACCUGCAGCUUGGGAGCAGCCAAGUUCCUAGAGCUGAGAUAGAGGAAUUUUAUAUAUGACCAUGAUGUCCACUUCCACUCCAGGCCAUCUUGAGACCAGAUGCAUCUUGACUUUCAAGAUACAGAAGUAGAGGGUGCCAGAUUUACAGUAUAAAACACCUUCUUUUAGCAUUACUCAGUCUAUGGGAUCCCUGGCUGCUUAUUUUAUUCACCAUAGUAUUGGAAAAGCGUAUGGAUCCUGCCAAGUUUAAUGGUUUCAUGUAAAACACUGACAAAUAAGCUUAGAUGGUAAAUUCAUGGGGAGAUCUCUUAUGCCUGCAAAGUACCAUAUGCUCUUCUGCUGAAGUAUAUGUAACAUAUAUCUUCACAGACAGGGAGAAGAUAAGCUUAAAAUUUCUUUUAUUUCUUCCCUCAUUCAUGUCACCUAUUCCAUCAUGUUGUGAAUCAUGCUAUCCAUGUUAUCCAUCCACUCAUGCCAACAAGAAGGAUAGAUAUUCAAAUAUAUCUAAGCACAGACUUCCUUGCUUUGUGGCAAUACAAUUGAUACAGGUACAGUCUUAAGUGUGUCUAAUGCAAUGUCAUUCCCAAAAGUGUGGCAUCUGUCUAGAUAGAAAAACAUUAGGCUGCUGAGGGCUGGUAAGCCAAGUGAGAUAAAUCCACCCAAAGAUGUUUUUCUCUCUCUCUUAGUGACUGAAGAAGAUACCUGGGCAACCACCUUAUUAUACUCAGUGCCCAUUACUUAAAUUCCUAAAGUUACAGAUGAAUCCAGCCCAACUCACUAUGUCACCCUGGAGAAUUCCUACUCUUUCUUAGUAACAUCAAAACUAUUUUGCAUACUGAUUUCAGAAAUUUUGGAAAGCAGUAAGACCUUCAUAUCUUCUCCUGAUACAUGAAGUUUGAGAUCCUUCGUGCUUGACAUUGCUGGAACUACAGAUGAGAUUCAGCCUCAGUUUAAUCAGGGGAAUAUUUAUGCCAGUGCUAUAAGCUGUCAUUUAACUCAGUGGUUGCUUAGAAAUUUUACAUUUAGAGAUCUGCCUAUGGAGAAGGUGAAAUUUAAAAGUAGCACUAAAAUUAAGCAUGAGUAGAAAGAGCAUCACAUUCAUUGAUUUUUCUUUAACACAGGGUGGACAAGUGUAGAUAGGCAUAAAUAUUCUGAGCUUUGUACCUGAAUAAGAGAAAGGUGUGCUAGUAAAAACUUCUCUGGUCUUUUAAUUACAUCUCCUCUCUAUUGUAUUUCUUUGAUAAUGAUCCAAAAUAAUUUCAAAAAUCUUUUUAUAGAAAUUUUGCAUGGCAUCAACUUUUCCUGUGACCAGCUCAAAAGACUACUGUAAGAUGUAUGUAUGGAAACAAUAAAGAUCUACUGUUUUUUUAUGGAAGAGCAAUGCCAUCCAAAUAAAAUCCCCCAUCUAUGGAAACUUUCAUUAAAAACAUAACCCUGAAAGACUUGGUACUUAUAAUUCAACAAAAAGAACCCUUGUUUUCCAGUAUAAGUGUGAGUUCUGUCAUGUCAAAGUUAUCACAGGAAAAAAGGAGCUAUUCAAACACACAUCAGAGAGAACCCUGGAUGUGAAGAUAAUGAAGGACAGAUGUUAUCUCAUGGAAGAUGUUGAGCUGAAGAUUUUUUUGCGAUGGAGGCUCAAUAGUAAGUGCUGUAAGCAUCAUAUGCUGUUGCAAAAUUACUAUAUAUGUUUUCUCUACAUUCAGUAAUAAGCCUGUAAUUUAUCAGGAUCACAGAACUUCAGUGAGUACAGGCUCUCCUUUGGCUGCUAAUGAGUAAUAAACUAUCCCCCCAUUUUUUUCACUGUCUGAACAUGUUUUAGAUUCCUCAUUCUCCAGCAGUCCCAGGACACAUCUAAGGAGCUGGAAGAGAGAAUCAUAGAAUUAUGAAAUGGCUUAGAAUGGAAGGGAAGAUCAGAUCCGGUCUGGUUAGUGGGGGAAAGUGAGGGAAAGAAGGGUGACUUGGCAUGGGACAAGCUCACCUACAUGGGGAAACUUACUGUUAUUGAAGGAAUUUGGUCCUGGCUCUAAAGGGUUAUGAAUGUCAGCGGAAGAGGCCUCGGUAAUUCUCAUCAGAGAUGAAAAGUAAUUUCAGAGAAGCCCCAAAUCCUCAAGCAUACCUUGUGCCUGUUCACUGCAGUUAGAUUGUUCUUUCAUGUCUUCUGCACAUGGAAAAUUAAUUUAGAAUUACCUCAGUGAAUGUACAAAAAAUAUGAUUGCUGAAUAAGUGGAUGAAAGAAAUCCUAUAACUGACUAUAAAGAAUAAAAUGCCCUUUGAGAAAUAAACUUAUUAUUAAGGUGAUGAAGUAAUAAUAAUUCAGCAAAAAAGGACAACAGCAGAAAUGGUAAAGCGCUAUCAUGGGUAAGGACUUGGCUAUAAGCAAGAAGAAAUAGGAGAAGCUUUCAACUUGGGAAUUUCUAUUUUUAGUGAGCUGAAAAAGACCACUGCGGUGUAAAAAAAUGUAAUUUAGAUCAGAAUGAAACAUGUACUCCUGGAACUGUCACACUGAGGAUCAAAGCUGACUUGCAUUCUCUUCAGAUGACUAAAUUGUUUAUUUUUCUGGUGUUUUCAAUUAUGUUAUUGAAGCAAAAGACUUAGUUGCAUUGAGUAAUACAAUGUUCAUGGUGCUUUAUUUGAAGAAUUAGUCUGAGUCUCAUAGACCAUUAUCUUUUGUGCUUUUCAGUGCCCAGACCUGCUAAGAACACAGCUGCUACAUAUCAUCUACUGGUCCUUUUCCUUUUUUUCUUACUUUUUCUCCUUUAUUUUUUAUUUUUUAUACUGGUGAGGAACCCUGUGAAAGAGUCUUUAAAACAUUUAGCAGGGUUUUAGAUAACGAAGUUACAGAGCAUGGUUAUCAUGUAAGCUUACACGAUAAGUACACUGGAUUUGAUAGGUAAUACCUUGUACCAACUGUAAUUGCUUGUUCUUGCAGAUUGCAGAGUAAUCCAGAAAGAAUUCUAUAGUCAUUCUCCAUUAACAGAAAACAGAAGAGGUUGCAGAGUGUACAUUCCUUCUCUGAUAACAGGCAUAACAAAAAAAUUAAGUAGGUGUGCCACAGACCUGUGUAUUUCCCAUAAUACAGGCGGGUUGUUUCAAAGUAAAGACAUCGGGAAUUACUGUGGAGAGCAGCCCUGGAGCAGUGCAGCAAGUCCAGACAGGCAUAGAUAAUAGCAAAACAUAUUUACUGCGUUUCAGGUGCAGUGGCUGAAAGUUUAAUGUUGACAUUUCACAGACUUGUUCAAGGCUAUUAUAGAAUAAGUUUGAAAUCUUCUUUGGCCUGGAUAAGUUCACACCUGAAACAAAAGAGAGAAACUUGCAGAAUUGUUUCUUGGUGGUGAUUGCCUCAGUGUUUUCCAGCAGACUGAAGACUUCUAUAUGGCAGACACGAAGGAUAACUGAGAGAAGACAGAAGGCGUUGAGACCUUGACAUUGCAGAACUUCUGGAUGAACACUCUCAAAAACUGAGGACCCUCUUCAUUGGCUGAACCAGUGCUGGAAUCUGAAACAAUGAUCGUCUGUUUUUCUCUGUGUCACCCUUCUGUGUCUCUUUUUUCUUUCUUUUUCCCACAUAAAGUUGUUAAGUAAU